This 294-nucleotide ribosomal RNA is filed under the name Triticum aestivum (bread wheat). Its description in RNAcentral is "partial small subunit ribosomal RNA". Lineage: Eukaryota; Viridiplantae; Streptophyta; Magnoliopsida; Poales; Poaceae. The record is from RNAcentral.
AUGCAGCGCAAGUGGAAAGUUCCAACCAACAACAAAUUCUAUGACUCCUUGGCCGAUGUUGCAGGUAGCGUCAUCCACCCAUUCUACAAAGGCAUGAAGAAGAAGAUCGACAUGGAGGAAGACCACAAACUGUGGGGGAUCAGCCCGCUGUCAGACAAGCUCAUCGAGUACAUAGGAAUAGAUGCGUACGCCACGUACAAGUCAUGGAAGAUAAUCGACAACAUCAUGACAGGUUGGGAUGUUUCAAAAGAGCAGGAGGCUGACCCCUACUACCACUGCAACUUCGCGGGAUGA